Molecule: long non-coding RNA, 749 nt
Filed under: Chlamydomonas reinhardtii
Lineage: Eukaryota; Viridiplantae; Chlorophyta; Chlorophyceae; Chlamydomonadales; Chlamydomonadaceae
Description: long non-coding RNA (CREI_LNC001321)
Source: RNAcentral
CCUCGCCCGCCCAGCCCUUCGCCUCCCUCUCCCCGGCCUCCCAGCCCGCCUCCCCCCUCGCCCGAGCCUCCCAGCCCCGAGCCGCCCGUGCAACCCCUCACCCCCGCCGUCCGCCGCCCGCCUCCGCCCAGCGCCCAACCCUUCCCCUUCUGCAAGUGCAACCGCACGCUGGGCACCGUUCCCUUCGUGUUCGACCCCGUGCCGGUCCUCACGCGCAACGGUGCCAACCGCGUCAUCUGCCUGACGCUGCGCACCAAGCCCUGCGUCGACCCCAGCUCGCCCUGCUGCACCCAGCCCAUGGCCAAGAUUGAGUGGUGGACCAAGGACGCCUGCCGCGGCUCCGUCAAGCAGGUGACCCUGGAUGGGACCAAGGUGGACCAGCAGUGGUCCAAGGGCACCUUCAAGAUCCCCGGCCUGAACAUGCCAGCCAGCGCCGUGCCCGACGCCGGCCGCGAGGUGUGCAUCGAGCUGGACGCCAAGGGCACCUGUCCCUCGCUCAACACCUUCUGCGCCCGCGCCGCCACCACCGGCAGCUGCUACUAUGUCGCCUUCAACCAAGCCAAGAGCUGGUGAGAGCUUUGCAUGUCGCGGUUGAAUGUCGCAGUAUCAGUUUGCCCAUAGAUGCGCUGCGUUUGGUGUGAUCGGCUGAUCGCUUAUCAACAGAGCUGUCAGCAGCAGCGUAAGGCUGUUUCAUUUGUUGGCACGGCACGGCACUAACCCAAGCCUUUCCCCUUUACCCGGCCCCCAAC